CUACGGGCUGCACCAGUGAGGAAUAUUGCACAAUGGGGGGAACCCUGAUGCAGCAACGCCGCGUGGAGGAUGACGCAUUUCGGUGUGUAAACUCCUUUUAUAUGUCAAGAAAAUGACGGUAGCAUAUGAAUAAGCACCGGCUAACUCCGUGCCAGCAGCCGCGGUAAUAAGGAGGGUGCAAGCGUUACUCGGAAUCACGGGGCGUAAAGGACGCGUAGGCGGGUUGGAAAGUCAGGUGUGAAAUCCUACAGCUUAACUGUAGAACUGCACUUGAAACUUCUAAUCUAGAGUAUGGGAGGGGGAGAUGGAAUUAGUGGUGUAGGGGUAAAAUCCGUAGAUAUCACUAGGAAUACCUAAAGCGAAGGCGAUCUCCUGGAACAUUACUGACGCUAAGGCGUGAAAGCGUGGGGAGCAAACAGGAUUAGAUACCCCCGUAGUC
This 439-nucleotide ribosomal RNA is filed under the name uncultured bacterium. RNAcentral's name for it is "partial 16S ribosomal RNA". It matches the Rfam family "Bacterial small subunit ribosomal RNA", at positions 339 to 795 of the family's 1533-position model. The record is from RNAcentral.